GGGCCCUACGGGAGGCAGCAGUAGGGAAUCUUCCACAAUGGGCGAAAGCCUGAUGGAGCAACGCCGCGUGGGUGAAGAAGGUCUUCGGAUCGUAAAACCCUGUUGUUAGAGAAGAAAGUGCGUGAGCGUAACUGUUCACAUUUCGACGGUAUCUAACCAGAAAGCCACGGCUAACUACGUGCCAGCAGCCGCAGUAAUACGUAGGUGGCAAGCGUUAUCCGGAUUUAUUGGGCGUAACGGGAACGCAGGCGGUCCUUUAA
Molecule: ribosomal RNA, 260 nt
Filed under: uncultured bacterium
Lineage: Bacteria
Description: partial 16S ribosomal RNA
Rfam family: Bacterial small subunit ribosomal RNA
Source: RNAcentral